This 429-nucleotide ribosomal RNA is filed under the name Actinomycetes bacterium. RNAcentral describes it as "Actinobacteria bacterium partial 16S ribosomal RNA". It matches the Rfam family "Bacterial small subunit ribosomal RNA", at positions 355 to 776 of the family's 1533-position model. Lineage: Bacteria; Bacillati; Actinomycetota; Actinomycetes. The record is from RNAcentral.
UAGGGAAUCUUCCGCAAUGGGCGAAAGCUUGACGGAGCAACGCCGCGUGAGUGAUGAAGGUCUUCGGAUCGUAAAACUCUGUUAUUAGGGAAGAACAAAUGUGUAAGUAACUAUGCACGUCUUGACGGUACCUAAUCAGAAAGCCACGGCUAACUACGUGCCAGCAGCCGCGGUAAUACGUAGGUGGCAAGCGUUAUCCGGAAUUAUUGGGCGUAAAGCGCGCGUAGGCGGUUUUUUAAGUCUGAUGUGAAAGCCCACGGCUCAACCGUGGAGGGUCAUUGGAAACUGGAAAACUUGAGUGCAGAAGAGGAAAGUGGAAUUCCAUGUGUAGCGGUGAAAUGCGCAGAGAUAUGGAGGAACACCAGUGGCGAAGGCGACUUUCUGGUCUGUAACUGACGCUGAUGUGCGAAAGCGUGGGGAUCAACCAGG